AUGCUCGCGUGCUCCGCAGCUCCGCCGUCGGCUCUCCUGCCGCACCUAUGGCCGGCUGCGCGCGCUUCGCGCGCCGUCUCGUCCUCCCCUUCAGCAGCGGUCGCGCCGUUCGGCACCGUCUCCAUCGUUAGCAUCGAGUUCGGCUCCGCCUGCAGCCAGUUUGCCGCCCACCUCCCGCUCGCUCCUCUACCCGCGGCCGCGUGCCCGCGCUGGCCGAGUCGUCUGCGUCACUGCGCUCCUCUCCACAUCCAGUGGGCGGGCCGGCCUCCUCCAGCCGCUCCUCCUCGCCCGAGCUGCUGCCGCCCUUUGGUCCGGCCUCCCGCAGCCGCUGGCGGCCAACUCCAUCCCGCCCGGGCCGCUACGCGCCCUACACCAUCCCUCGUGCGGCGUGGCUCAGCGCCGCGCCGCCUCCCGCCAACCACCACGCCUCGCGGGCUUCGACUGCCGGCUGCGCCGUUCCCCGCCCGCUCUCAGCGUCGACAGCUCCACCCUCGCCAGUUGGCUCCGGGUCCCCGCCGGGUCACCGCCACCCGCAGCCGGGUGCUUCGCACCGGCCGGCUCCGGGACCCCGCGCCGCUGUCCGCAUCCCAUGCGCGUGGCCCCGACCACACCGCGCACCCUAGCCGGAUCCCCCAGUGCCUGGUCCUUCCCGCCUUGCUGCCUGGCCGGGUCGCCACCUCGCCACCUCCUGCUGGCCCAGGCCGGUCCUGCCCGGGCCCGCGUGCCUCCCGCGUACGUCGACCGACCUUCUCCCACUCCGACCACGCUGCCGCGUCACACACUACGCCGGCUGUGGCUCCCCGCCGCCUUCCCGUGUCUACCCGGCCACGCGCGUCCGCGUCUGACUCCGCCCGAGGCCGCCUGCGCCUCCGCGCGCCAUGCCGGCUCCCCUGCCGCGCCUCUGGCCGGCCGGGUCGCGCGCCUCCGUUGCCGGCUCCCGGGUCGGGCGCCGUGUCCGGCUGUGCCACGCGUGCCCCCGCUGGGUCCCGCUCCAGCCGCCUGUUGUGA
Molecule: ribosomal RNA, 1008 nt
Filed under: Triticum aestivum (bread wheat)
Lineage: Eukaryota; Viridiplantae; Streptophyta; Magnoliopsida; Poales; Poaceae
Description: partial small subunit ribosomal RNA
Source: RNAcentral